This 404-nucleotide ribosomal RNA is filed under the name uncultured Brevundimonas sp. Its description in RNAcentral is "bacterial SSU rRNA". It matches the Rfam family "Bacterial small subunit ribosomal RNA", at positions 355 to 776 of the family's 1533-position model. Lineage: Bacteria; Pseudomonadati; Pseudomonadota; Alphaproteobacteria; Caulobacterales; Caulobacteraceae. The record is from RNAcentral.
UGGGGAAUCUUGCGCAAUGGGCGAAAGCCUGACGCAGCCAUGCCGCGUGAAUGAUGAAGGUCUUAGGAUUGUAAAAUUCUUUCACCGGGGACGAUAAUGACGGUACCCGGAGAAGAAGCCCCGGCUAACUUCGUGCCAGCAGCCGCGGUAAUACGAAGGGGGCUAGCGUUGCUCGGAAUUACUGGGCGUAAAGGGAGCGUAGGCGGACAUUUAAGUCAGGGGUGAAAUCCCGGGGCUCAACCUCGGAAUUGCCUUUGAUACUGGAUGUCUUGAGUGUGAGAGAGGUAUGUGGAACUCCGAGUGUAGAGGUGAAAUUCGUAGAUAUUCGGAAGAACACCAGUGGCGAAGGCGACAUACUGGCUCAUUACUGACGCUGAGGCUCGAAAGCGUGGGGAGCAAACAGG